RNAcentral lists this ribosomal RNA (133 nucleotides) under Gilchristella aestuaria (Gilchrist's round herring). RNAcentral describes it as "partial 16S ribosomal RNA". The record is from RNAcentral. Lineage: Eukaryota; Metazoa; Chordata; Actinopteri; Clupeiformes; Clupeidae.
ACCAAACAGCUAGCUCAACCAUCUAAGUAAAAAAUACGACAUAUAUUACUUAACAAAACCACAUUAUAAAAAUUAAACCAUUUAACCACCCCAGUACGGGCGACAGAAAAGGACAAAUGAAGCAUUAGAAAAA